CUGCGGAGGGAUCAUUACACAAUAACAAGGCGGGCUGGACACCCCCAGCCGGGCACUGCUUCACCGCGUGCGCGGCUGGGCCGGCCCUGCUGAAUUAUUCACCCGUGUCUUUUGCGUACUUCUUGUUUCCUGGGUGGGCUCGCCCGCCAUCAGGACCAACCACAAACCUUUUGCAAUAGCAAUCAGCGUCAGUAACAACGUAAUUAAUUACAACUUUCAACAACGGAUCUCUUGGUUCUGGCAUCGAUGAAGAACGCAGCGAAAUGCGAUACGUAGUGUGAAUUGCAGAAUUCAGUGAAUCAUCGAAUCUUUGAACGCACAUUGCGCCCUUUGGUAUUCCAAAGGGCAUGCCUGUUCGAGCGUCAUUUGUACCCUCAAGCUUUGCUUGGUGUUGGGCGUCUUUUGUCUCCAGUUCGCUGGAGACUCGCCUUAAAGUCAUUGGCAGCCGGCCUACUGGUUUCGGAGCGCAGCACAAGUCGCGCUCUUUGCCAGCCAAGGUCAGCGUCCAGCAAGCCUUUUUUCAACCUUUGACCUCGGAUCAGGUAGGGAUACCCGCUGAACUUAAGCAUAUCAAUAAGCGGAGGA
RNAcentral lists this ribosomal RNA (585 nucleotides) under Alternaria triticina. RNAcentral's name for it is "eukaryotic LSU rRNA". The stretch from base 212 to 365 matches the Rfam family "5.8S ribosomal RNA". The record is from RNAcentral. Lineage: Eukaryota; Fungi; Ascomycota; Dothideomycetes; Pleosporales; Pleosporaceae.